AUUGAACGCUGGCGGCAGGCCUAACACAUGCAAGUCGAGCGGAUGAAGGGAGCUUGCUCCUGGAUUCAGCGGCGGACGGGCGAGUAAUGCCUAGGAAUCUGCCUGGCAGUGGGGGAUAACGUCCGGAAACGGGCGCUAAUACCGCAUACGUCCAGAGGGAGAAAGUGGGGGAUCAUCGGACCUCACGCUAUUAGAUGAGCCUAGGUCGGAUUAGCUAGUUGGUGGGGUAAAGGCCUACCAAGGCGACGAUCCGUAGCUGGUCUGAGAGGAUGAUCAGUCACACUGGAACUGAGACACGGUCCAGACUCCUACGGGAGGCAGCAGUGGGGAAUAUUGGACAAUGGGCGAAAGCCUGAUCCAGCCAUGCCGCGUGUGUGAAGAAGGUCUUCGGAUUGUAAAGCACUUUAAGUUGGGAGGAAGAGCAGUAAGUUAAUACCUUGCUGUUUUGACGGUACCAACAGAAUAAGCACCGGCUAACUUCGUG
RNAcentral lists this ribosomal RNA (484 nucleotides) under uncultured bacterium. RNAcentral describes it as "partial 16S ribosomal RNA". It matches the Rfam family "Bacterial small subunit ribosomal RNA", at positions 30 to 507 of the family's 1533-position model. The record is from RNAcentral.